This is a long non-coding RNA of Hevea brasiliensis (rubber tree), 289 nucleotides long. RefSeq lists it as uncharacterized. The record is from RefSeq and is a predicted model, not a curated record. Lineage: Eukaryota; Viridiplantae; Streptophyta; Magnoliopsida; Malpighiales; Euphorbiaceae. The transcript is spliced from 3 exons.
UGUGAUCUACUCUACCUAUCACUUCUUUCUUCUUCAAGAUCUGCAUCUGCCCCUCCUUCUUCUUUCGAUUUGAUCAAAUCUCUUUGAUAAUUAUCUUGAUUGGAUCAGCUGCUCUUUCUUCAGAUCUGUUUGAGAAACAUCUUGAUUAUACCAGGAGAACAUCUCUGAUUAAUCACUGACAGACAGUGAUCCUUCUUCUUCGUCUCACUUAUCUGCAACCAAAGUUUGCAUCAUUCGGUGCCUAUUCUGAUUCAAGCAAGUCUUUAGGAGAAAUUCUUCUCAGUCAAGG